UGCAACCGAUAGCUCAGUCAGUACAACAUGAGACUUUUAAUCUCAGGGUUGCGGGUUCGAGUCCCACGUUGGGCAA
Molecule: non-coding RNA, 76 nt
Organism: Podarcis lilfordi (Lilford's wall lizard)
Lineage: Eukaryota; Metazoa; Chordata; Lepidosauria; Squamata; Lacertidae
Source: the annotation of a GenBank genome assembly